ACGAUUUGGAAACAGUGUCGU
This 21-nucleotide non-coding RNA is filed under the name Arabidopsis thaliana (thale cress). The record is from RNAcentral. Lineage: Eukaryota; Viridiplantae; Streptophyta; Magnoliopsida; Brassicales; Brassicaceae.